Leopardus geoffroyi (Geoffroy's cat) is the source of this 654-nucleotide long non-coding RNA. RefSeq lists it as uncharacterized. NCBI's taxonomy places the organism in Eukaryota, Metazoa, Chordata, Mammalia, Carnivora, Felidae. The record is from RefSeq and is a predicted model, not a curated record. The transcript has 2 exons.
UCAAAGUCACAAACCUCAAGAUCAUGACUUGAGCCAAAGUCGGACGCUUAACUGACUGAGCCAUCCAGGUGCCCCUCCAGAUUUUUAACUAUACAAUUAUAAACCACUCUGUCAUGAACAUCCUUAUCAUUUUAUCUUUGUGUACCUUACUUUUCUUUCAACUCUUUUCUAGAAGAGGAAUUAAUAAGUCAGAGUGUCUACACAGUUGCAAGGCUUUUUGUGGCUAUCAUCUAUUAUCUUCCACCAGAGGGUUCGCCUGUGUAACCAUCAAAAUAUCUCAAACAUGACAGACUCUGACCUCCAGGGCUGGGUCAUAAAAGACAUUGUGGGUUCCACUUUAUUCUCUUUUUGGAUCACUCAUCCAGAAGUAGUCAACUGCACGUCAUGAGGACACUCAAUCAGCCUUAAAAGAGGUCCACGUGGUGGAACUGAAGCCUUCUGCCAACAUCAGCACUAACUUGACAGCCACCUGACUAAGCUCUUCUGGAAGUGAUGCUCCGGCACCAGUCAAGCCUUCAGAUGACUACAGUCCAGGCCAGUAUCUUGACUGCAACCCCAUGAGACACUCUGAGCCAGAAACACCCAGCUAAGCACUCCUCAAUUCCUGAUGUACAGAAACUGUGUGUGAUAAUAAAUGUUCAUUGUUUGAAGUUA